UUUUAAACAUAAUUUCCCUGUCGCCGCCACCACAAAGAAAGUAGGAUUUUUAUACAAAGAGAUUAUUCAACAGUGAUUACGAGACAAUGAAUCACAUGUCAUGUAUGUUCUCAAUGGAUGAUGUAAUUAACGUCAUGGAGUCACAUGGUUUGGCGAUGUCUCUUGUUCAAAAAAGAGUGAACCAACUUCUAGCUGUGGAAAAGAAGAUGAUGCUUUAUGGCGAACCAUUAGUUCUCAAGGAAGAUCUUAUCGCUAGUUGCAAGAGUCUGAGUUUGGUGGGAAGUUGGUGAUAAGUUAUCUUCUUUUAGCGAGGUUCGAUGUUUUGAGGAAAUACUAAUCUAUUUUAUAUUUCUUUAUAUAUUCUAAUAUCAUAUUUGUCUUUUGAAUUAAACAG
This is a long non-coding RNA of Impatiens glandulifera, 394 nucleotides long. RefSeq lists it as uncharacterized. The transcript is spliced from 3 exons. NCBI's taxonomy places the organism in Eukaryota, Viridiplantae, Streptophyta, Magnoliopsida, Ericales, Balsaminaceae. The record is from RefSeq and is a predicted model, not a curated record.